AUGACCUCGGAUCAGGUAGGGAUACCCGCUGAACUUAAGCAUAUCAAUAAGCGGAGGAAAAGAAACCAACAGGGAUUACCUCAGUA
Molecule: ribosomal RNA, 86 nt
Filed under: Podosphaera pannosa
Lineage: Eukaryota; Fungi; Ascomycota; Leotiomycetes; Helotiales; Erysiphaceae
Also listed under: 1 other name
Description: partial 28S ribosomal RNA
Rfam family: Eukaryotic large subunit ribosomal RNA
Source: RNAcentral